GAUGAAAACGCAGCGAAAUGCGAUAACUAAUGUGAAUUGCAGAAUUCAGUGAAUCAUCGAGUCUUUGAACGCACAUUGCGCCCCCUGGUAUUCCGGGGGGCAUGCCUGUCCGAGCGUCAUUGCUGCCCUCAAGCACGGCUUGUGUGUUGGGCUCCGUCCCCCCGGGGACGGGCCCGAAAGGCAGCGGCGGCACCGAGUCCGGUCCUCGAGCGUAUGGGGCUUUGUCACCCGCUCUGUAGGCCCGGCCGGCGCCAGCCGACAACCCAUCAUCCUUUUCAGGUUGACCUCGGAUCAGGUAGGGAUACCCGCUGAACUUAAGCAUAUCAAUAAGCGGAGGA
RNAcentral lists this unclassified non-coding RNA (338 nucleotides) under soil metagenome. Its description in RNAcentral is "partial contains 5.8S ribosomal RNA, internal transcribed spacer 2, and large subunit ribosomal RNA". The stretch from base 1 to 119 matches the Rfam family "5.8S ribosomal RNA", at positions 35 to 154 of the family's 154-position model. The record is from RNAcentral.